AUCAUUAUUGUAACAACUGGGAGGACGCGAGAGGGCUGUCGCUGACCCUUUAAACCGGGGGUCGUGCACGCCCGAAGUGUCAUCCUCACACAAUCCACCUCACCUUUGUGCACCACCGCGUGGGUUCCCUCCGGAAAAGGGGCUUGCGUUUUCCACAUGAACCCAGUGUAGAAUGUCUUUUUGCUUUUUAUUGCAAUCAAUACAACUUUCAACAACGGAUCUCUUGGCUCUCGCAUCGAUGAAGAACGCAGCGAAAUGCGAUAUGUAAUGUGAAUUGCAGAAUUCAGUGAAUCAUCGAAUCUUUGAACGCACCUUGCGCCCCUUGGCAUUCCGAGGGGCACACCCGUUUGAGUGUCGUGAAAUCCUCAACCUUCUUUGUUUCUUUGAACUGAGAAGGCUUGGAAUUUGGAGGCUUAUGCUGGCCUCUUUCUUGAAGCCAGCUCCUCUUAAAUGGAUUAGCAGGUUCUGCUUAGCCAGAUCCCUUGACGUGAUAAGCCAUUUCUAUGUCCUGGGUUGGGCUCUGUCUCUUGCUUACAAUCGUCUCUUUCGAGACUACACGAAUACCCCCUUGACCUCAAAUCGGGUGAGACUACCCGCUGAACUUAAGCAUAUCAAUAAGCGGAGGAAAAGAAACUAACAAGGAUUCCCCUAGUAACUGCGAGUGAAGCGGGAAAAGCUCAAAUUUAAAAUCUGGUGGUCUUUGGCCAUCCGAGUUGUAAUUUAGAGAAGUGUCUUUCGCGUCGGACCGUGCACAAGUCUCCUGGAAUGGAGCGUCAUAGAGGGUGAGAAUCCCGUCUUUGGCAUGGACUCCUGAUGCUUUUGUAAGGCGCUCUCAAAGAGUCGAGUUGUUUGGGAAUGCAGCUCAAAAUGGGUGGUGAACUCCAUCUAAAGCUAAAUAUUGGCGAGAGACCGAUAGCGAACAAGUACCGUGAGGGAAAGAUGAAAAGCACUUUGGAAAGAGAGUGAAACAGUACGUGAAAUUGUUGAAAGGGAAACACUUGAAGUCAGUCGCGUUGACCGAGACUCAGCCUUGCCUCGGCUUGGUGUACUUCUCGAUUGACGGGCCAGCAUCAAUUUUGUCCUUCGGAUAAUGGCAGGGGAAAGGUGGCACCCUUAUGGGUGUGUUAUAGUCUUCUGUCGCAUGCGAGGGGUGGGAUUGAGGAACUCAGCACGCGCCUUCGGGUGUCGGGGCUUCGGCUCACCGU
RNAcentral lists this ribosomal RNA (1205 nucleotides) under uncultured fungus. Its description in RNAcentral is "eukaryotic LSU rRNA". The stretch from base 570 to 1205 matches the Rfam family "Eukaryotic large subunit ribosomal RNA", at positions 1 to 606 of the family's 3401-position model. The record is from RNAcentral. Lineage: Eukaryota; Fungi.